RNAcentral lists this ribosomal RNA (178 nucleotides) under Finegoldia magna. RNAcentral's name for it is "partial 16S ribosomal RNA". It matches the Rfam family "Bacterial small subunit ribosomal RNA", at positions 1 to 161 of the family's 1533-position model. The record is from RNAcentral. Lineage: Bacteria; Bacillati; Bacillota; Tissierellia; Tissierellales; Peptoniphilaceae.
UAAAUUGAGAGUUUGAUCCUGGCUCAGGACGAACGCUGGCGGCGUGCUUAACACAUGCAAGUCGAACGGGAUUUAGUAAACAGAAGCCUCGGUGGAAGAUUACUAAUGAGAGUGGCGAACGGGUGAGUAACGCGUGAGCAACCUGCCUAUGACAGUGGGAUAGCCUCGGGAAACCGGG